Molecule: ribosomal RNA, 115 nt
Filed under: Monodelphis domestica (gray short-tailed opossum)
Lineage: Eukaryota; Metazoa; Chordata; Mammalia; Didelphimorphia; Didelphidae
Source: RNAcentral
GAUAGCCAUUCCACCUUGAAAUCACUCAAUCUUGUCUGAUCUUGGAAGAUAAACAGGGUAUGACCUUAUUAAUACUUGGAUGAGAAACUGCCUGGGAAUAUCUGUGGUGCAAGCU